RNAcentral lists this ribosomal RNA (419 nucleotides) under uncultured bacterium. Its description in RNAcentral is "bacterial SSU rRNA". It matches the Rfam family "Bacterial small subunit ribosomal RNA", at positions 355 to 773 of the family's 1533-position model. The record is from RNAcentral.
UGGGGAAUCUUGCGCAAUGGUCGAGAGACUGACGCAGCGACGCCGCGUGUGGGAGGACGCCUUUCGGGGUGUAAACCACUGUUGCGCGGGACGAACAGCGCUAUUCGUGGCGUCUGACGGUACCGGGUGAGGAAGCACCGGCUAACUCCGUGCCAGCAGCCGCGGUAAUACGGAGGGUGCGAGCGGUGUCCGGAAUCAUUGGGCGUAAAGGGCGCGUAGGUGGCCCGGUCAGUCUUUGGUGAAAGCGCGGGGCUCAACCCUGCGUCGGCCAGGGAUACUGCCGCGGCUGGAGCACUGUAGAGGCAGGCGGAAUUCCGGGUGUAGCGGUGGAAUGCGUAGAGAUCCGGAAGAACACCGGUGGCGAAGGCGGCCUGCUGGGCAGUUGCUGACACUGAGGCGCGACAGCGUGGGGAGCAAAC